UAUGACUCUCGGCAAUGGAUAUCUUGGCUCUUGCAUCGAUGAAGAGCGCAGCGAAAUGCGAUAUGUGGUGCGAAUUGCAGAAUCCCGUGAACCAUUGAGUUUUUGAACGCAAGUUGCGCCUGAGGCCAGCUGGUUGAGGGCACGUCCGCUUGGGCGUCAUGC
RNAcentral lists this ribosomal RNA (162 nucleotides) under Genoplesium rufum. RNAcentral's name for it is "5.8S ribosomal RNA". It matches the Rfam family "5.8S ribosomal RNA". From Rfam's summary of the family: 5.8S ribosomal RNA (5.8S rRNA) is a component of the large subunit of the eukaryotic ribosome. It is transcribed by RNA polymerase I as part of the 45S precursor that also contains 18S and 28S rRNA. The record is from RNAcentral. RNAcentral also lists the same sequence under 3 other names. Lineage: Eukaryota; Viridiplantae; Streptophyta; Magnoliopsida; Asparagales; Orchidaceae.